CACGGAUUGUUUUAUUGAAAAAGGAAAGGGACGUGUGACCUAAAAGACAUUAGUAGCAGAAUACCCAACUUCGCAAUACUCAUAAUUGGCAAAGACCCAAUUUCAUACUUCAUAGUCAACUUAAAUAAGUUCUCUUUUUUUCUGCUCUCACCAAUGUCACUUUCUCCUUCUACAAUUUCAGCAUUACAUUUUCAGGGUAUCUCCAUGGUGAGGCGAGAUUCCGCAUAAUCACCGUAGAAUAUCCCACGUGGCUACCUUGACUCAACCCAGUGAGCUUAUCAAAAUCCCAUCGCAUGCUCCACCUAUAUAAAUAUAUACACACAUAUUCUGUAACCCUUCUUUCGACAAUUCUCUCUCUGAAAAAAUAUUCGUUCUUUGUGUAUAGAUCAUAUCGAAACGGUGGUGCAAAUUCAAAAACCCUAUUUUCUUGAAUCCCAUUUCUUGAAUUACUCAAAUAUUGCUCUCGUUUUGCUUCAUUUGAAUGGUUAUGAGAUUUUUGUUGAUAGGAAGAGAGUGUUUCUUUGUUGAAGAAAUUCAGGAUUCAAUUUUUUAUGGAGGAACCAAUGAGAAUAAGGUAUGGAAUAGGCUACGCUUUGGCUCCCAAGAAACAAGCCAGUUUCGUUCAGGUUUCUCUCGUAAAUCUUGCUAAAGAGAGAGGUAUCGAUCUCAUCAAGAUCGACCUCGAAAAGCCCUUAAUCGAUCAGGGCCCUUUUGAUUGCAUUCUUCACAAAAUUUACAGUCCCAGUUGGAAACAACAGUUAUCCGACUAUGCGGUAAAGAAUCCUAAUGUCCCUAUUAUUGAUUCCCCCAAUGCCAUUGAGAGGCUGCACAACAGAAUUUCCAUGCUUGAGGUGGUGACCGAGAUAAAUGUUGACUGUGAGACAGGGUCCUUUGGGAUUCCAAAGCAGAUUGUAAUUUAUGAUGCGAAAGCUGCGAAGGAAUUGAAUCUUGAGGCCCAGGGCUUGAAGUUUCCAUUGAUAGUGAAGCCCUUGGUGGCGGAUGGUAGCGCAAAGUCGCACAAGAUGUCCUUAGUUUUUAACAAGGUUGGGUUGAGUGAACUGAAGCCGCCGGUUGUCUUACAGGAGUUUGUUAACCAUGGGGGCGUGAUCUUUAAGGUGUAUGUUGUGGGGGAGUACGUCAAGUGUGUAAAGAGAAAGUCUCUACCAGAUGUGAAUGAGGAGAAUUUGGGAAAUUCUGAGGGGUCACUGUCGUUCUCACAAGUCUCGAAUUUGAAUAGUGUGGAGAGGGCUGAUGACAAGUAUUAUUCGAUGAUGGACUUGGAAGAUGAAAAGACAGAGUUGCCUCCGAUGAGCUUCUUGGUGAAUAUUGCUAGUGGGUUGAGGGCUGCAAUGGGGUUGCAUUUGUUUAACUUUGACUUGAUUAGGGAUUCACAGAUUGGGAAUAGGUACCUUGUGAUAGACAUUAACUAUUUUCCUGGCUAUGCGAAGAUGCCCUGCUACGAGCGCGUUUUGACAGAUUUUUUCUGGGAUAUUUUGAACAAUAAUGAUGAUCUGAAUUUGGAAAGUUUAAAUAUGGGUACUUGCCAGAUGGAAGUUAGAAAGUUGGUUAGUAAUAGUGACUGUAACGAGGAUGAUGAAGCAACAGAUCUUCCUGUAUCUCCAAUAAAGCGGGAAGAAAAAGAGAACGCGUGUUGAAGGGAUACAGUGUCACGUGGCUAGUGGAGGGCUUGUUGGCUGACACAUUGUUCGAUGGAAUUUUCUUUCUGUCGGUUGAUGGCCUUGACGCGAGCCAUAUAUCACUUCGUUUAGAUGGUAGAGUUAGUACAGUGGUUAAUAAUUAGGUUUCUUUGCUUUGGUUCUGCUGCAAUGGGCAUUAAUGGAGUGCUCUGUGUUGAUCAUGUACAUUCAAGUUGUUGCGUUGAGGAUAGGUACUUUUCAAUGGAGAUUAUAGGUAUUUCUCAAAUACUAUGAAGUCUUUAGGAAUGUUAAGUUUUACUUCAAGGAAAAUGUAUUUCCUGGCUUAGUAAACCUUUCUGAUGUUUGGCUUCAGCUACUUCAAACAAUGAAUUGUGCCUUUCUGUCGAUGAUGUUUCCUUUGGUUCUGCCUUCAUUAUGUGUGGUCAAUGGGUUCUCAUCAUUCCUGCUGUUUUAAGAUUGCUCUUACUCCAUGCUUAAACUGAGGUUUGUUGCCUAUUAUUCAUAUAAAAAUGGUACUUGUGAACAUACUAAUAUAUAAAACACCAAUUCAUUUGAGAGAUACUUAGCCUCCAUUUGGGAAGAAUUUAUAAGCUUUAAUUUAUAAAUAGAAAGAAACGAG
RNAcentral lists this long non-coding RNA (2277 nucleotides) under Olea europaea subsp. europaea. The record is from RNAcentral. Lineage: Eukaryota; Viridiplantae; Streptophyta; Magnoliopsida; Lamiales; Oleaceae.